Molecule: ribosomal RNA, 600 nt
Filed under: uncultured Alphaproteobacteria bacterium
Lineage: Bacteria; Pseudomonadati; Pseudomonadota; Alphaproteobacteria
Description: bacterial SSU rRNA
Rfam family: Bacterial small subunit ribosomal RNA
Source: RNAcentral
CAUGCAAGUCGAACGGAGGCCCUAGCUUGCUAGGUGUCCUUAGUGGCGCACGGGUGAGUAACACGUGGGAACAUACCUUAUAGUACGGAAUAACUGCGGGAAACUGUAGCUAAUACCGUAUACUCCAGUAAUGGGAAAGAUUUAUCGCUAUAAGAUUGGCCCGCGCAAGAUUAGCUUGUUGGUGAGGUAAAAGCUCACCAAGGCUUCGAUCUUUAGCUGGUUUGAGAGGACGAUCAGCCACACUGGGACUGAGACACGGCCCAGACUCCUACGGGAGGCAGCAGUAGGGAAUAUUGGACAAUGGGGGCAACCCUGAUCCAGCAAUGCAGCGUGAGUGACGAAGGCCUUAGGGUUGUAAAACUCUUUCAUCGGUGAGGAUAAUGACAGUAGCCGAAGAAGAAGGACCGGCUAAUUCCGUGCCAGCAGCCGCGGUAAUACGGAAGGUCCUAGCGUUGUUCGGAAUUACUGGGCGUAAAGCGCAUGUAGGCGGAACAGAAAGUUAGAAGUGAAAUCCCUGGGCUCAACCUAGGAAUUGCUUUUAAAACUUCUGUUCUGGAAUUCAGGAGAGGAAAAUGGAAUUUCCAGUGUAGAGGUGAAAUU